CAGCAGCGCGGUAAUACAGAGGGUGCGAGCGUUAAUCGGAAUUACUGGGCGUAAAGCGCGCGUAGGUGGUUUGUUAAGUUGGAUGUGAAAUCACCGGGCUCAACCUGGGAACUGCAUCCAAAACUGGAAAGCUAGAGUAUGGUAGAGGGUGGUGGAAUUUCCUGUGUAGCGGUGAAAUGCGUAGAUAUAGGAAGGAACACCAGUGGCGAAGGCGACCACCUGGACUGAUACUGACACUGAGGUGCGAAAGCGUGGGGAGCAAACAGGAUUAGAUACCCCAGUAGUCCCUGUCUCUUAUACC
This 301-nucleotide ribosomal RNA is filed under the name uncultured bacterium. Its description in RNAcentral is "partial 16S ribosomal RNA". It matches the Rfam family "Bacterial small subunit ribosomal RNA", at positions 509 to 808 of the family's 1533-position model. The record is from RNAcentral.